RNAcentral lists this long non-coding RNA (1020 nucleotides) under Marmota monax (woodchuck). The record is from RNAcentral. Lineage: Eukaryota; Metazoa; Chordata; Mammalia; Rodentia; Sciuridae.
CAGCAAAAGGUCCUAACAACUCCACUGUGGAGUGGACAGAGCCCAAGGAAGGCCACUUGUCUGCAGUGGGGUGGCAAAUGCCACCUGGACGGUCAGCGCCACCAGCUGAAACUCACAGUUAAGAUCCCAGGGCGAUCCCAGGCCCCGGAACCGUGGGAUUCCAAGUGCUGCAAGGGCAUCUGGCCCAGGGGUUCAGUGGAGCAGCAGCUGGGAAGGCACUCCCGCCAUCUCUUUUUUUUUUCUUUUUUAAAGAUAUUUUUAUUAGUGCAUUAUAUUUACACAUAAUAGUGGGGUACAUUUGAUGUAUCCUACAUGCAUGGAAUAUCAUUUGAUCCAUUACAGUCCCCCGCUCUUCCUCUUUCCCUCUCCUCCUUCCUCUCCAUAUUUCCCUUUUAGGAUAAAUUUGGAAAGAACAGACCACAGACCUUGAUAACAAGUUGGGCAUGAGAGGUAAAGGAGAAACGAAGGUAAGAGAUGACCCCUAGUCUGCACUUUUCUAGUUGUGUCCAUAGUAGUGCCAUCUACUGAGGUAGAACUGAUUGGGGAAGAUGAGGUUUCCCUGCCCUACUUGCUCUCUUUAUUCCUUGACAAUCUGCAGCCACCCUCAAAAGCUCUAUCUCAAAUUCCACCAUCAGAGAAUCUAUAGUUCAUGUUGAUGUAUAGAAUUUCCUGGUCUCUAUUAACUCUACACACUUCUCCCCAGGAAAUCACUUCUUUUCCUGUGGCUUCCAUUACUGUCUUUAUGUCGAUGACUGCCAAUAUUCUAUUUCUAGCCCUCCACUCUUCUCUAAGCUCCAAGCCAUAUGGCCAACCAUCUAUUGAAUGAAUAUCUUCCCUGAUAUCCCACAUGCACCAAAUUCUACCUUGAACCAAAUCACAAUUUUCAUAUUACUCCCUGUAUAUCUCUCUUCAGUAUUUCUAGUUGGAUCAAUGUCCUACUGUAUGACCAAAGUUCCCUGACCCAGGAGCACAUAAGUCAUCUUUAUCUGCUCUUAGUCCCCAUAUAUGACCCAACACUGA